UACGUAGGUCCCGAGCGUUGUCCGGAUUUAUUGGGCGUAAAGCGAGCGCAGGUGGUUUAUUAAGUCUGGUGUAAAAGGCAGUGGUUCAACCAUUGUAUGCAUUGGAAACUGGUAGACUUGAGUGCAGGAGAGGAGAGUGGAAUUCCAUGUGUAGCGGCGAAGUGCGUAGAUAUAUGGGGGAACACCGGUGGCGAAAGCGGCUCUCUGGCCUGUAACUGACACUGAGGCUCGAAAGCGUGGGGAGCAAACAGG
RNAcentral lists this ribosomal RNA (252 nucleotides) under uncultured bacterium. Its description in RNAcentral is "partial 16S ribosomal RNA". It matches the Rfam family "Bacterial small subunit ribosomal RNA", at positions 524 to 776 of the family's 1533-position model. The record is from RNAcentral.